UCGAUUCUGCAGUGAAUAUACUAGAAUUGGAAGGAUACAGACAAGAUUAGCACGGCCUCUGCACAAGGAUGACACAAGAAUUCGUAAAGCACUCCAUAUUUUA
Molecule: small nuclear RNA, 103 nt
Organism: Rattus norvegicus (Norway rat)
Lineage: Eukaryota; Metazoa; Chordata; Mammalia; Rodentia; Muridae
Source: Ensembl